AUCUAAAUAGUUUAAUUAAAAUGUUGGUUUGUGGUGCCUAUGAUACAGUUUUCUGUUUUGGAUU
Molecule: transfer RNA, 64 nt
Filed under: Labidotermes celisi
Lineage: Eukaryota; Metazoa; Arthropoda; Insecta; Blattodea; Termitidae
Description: tRNA-His
Source: RNAcentral